Long non-coding RNA from Oncorhynchus tshawytscha (Chinook salmon), 485 nucleotides. NCBI's taxonomy places the organism in Eukaryota, Metazoa, Chordata, Actinopteri, Salmoniformes, Salmonidae. The record is from Ensembl.
AGUGGUUAGAGUGUAGAGGUGGCAGGUAGCCUAGUGGUUAGAGUGUAGAGGUGGCAGGUAGCCUAGUGGUUAGAGUGUAGAGGAGGCAGGUAGCCUAGUGGUUAGACUGUAGAGGUGGCAGGUAGUCUAGUGGUUAGAGUGUAGAGGUGGCAGGUAGCCUAGUGGUUAGAGUGUAGAGGUGGCAGGUAGUCUAGUGGUUAGAGUGUAGAGGAGGCAGGUAGCCUAGUGGUUAGAGUGUAGAGGCGGCAGGUAGUCUAGUGGUUAGAGUGUAGAGGCGGCAGGUAGCCUAGUGGUUAGAGUGUAGAGGCGGCAGGUAGUCUAGUGGUUAGAGUGUAGAGGCGGCAGGUAGUCUAGUGGUUAGAGUGUAGAGGCGGCAGGUAGUCUAGUGGUUAGAGUGUAGAGGUGGCAGGUAGUCUAGUGGUUAGAGUGUAGAGGCGGCAGGUAGUCUAGUGGUUAGAGUGUAGAGGCGGCAGGUAGUCUAGUGG